AAAUCAUGAUGAAGACACCUCCUCAAAAGCUCUUUAAAUUGCUCUCAUGCCUCAAACAAGGAUUUCGCUUCAUAUUGUUGAAAGCAACAUAUCUUUGUCAUAAGCUU
Small nucleolar RNA from Abrus precatorius (Indian licorice), 107 nucleotides. The record is from RefSeq and is a predicted model, not a curated record. Lineage: Eukaryota; Viridiplantae; Streptophyta; Magnoliopsida; Fabales; Fabaceae.